Molecule: ribosomal RNA, 865 nt
Filed under: Dactylogyrus sp. BANI
Lineage: Eukaryota; Metazoa; Platyhelminthes; Monogenea; Dactylogyridea; Dactylogyridae
Description: eukaryotic LSU rRNA
Rfam family: Eukaryotic large subunit ribosomal RNA
Source: RNAcentral
UUACCCGCUUGAAAUUAAGCAUAUCAGUAAGCGGAGGAAAAGAAACUAACCAGGAUUCUCCUAGUAACGGCGAGUGAACGGAGAUUAGCCCAUCACCGAAGUCUAUCCGCUCUUGUGGACAGGACAAUGUGGUGUUCGGGCGUGCACCUGGGAGCGCUUGCCUACUCGAAGUCCAGCUCUGAUUUUGGCUUCGACACAAUCCAAAGCGGGUGAAAGGCCCGUUUGAGUAGGCUGAAUGCAAUAAGCGAUCCUCAGAUGUGUGCGCCUUCGAGUCGGAUUGCUUGAGAAUGCAGUCCAAAGAGGGUGGUAAACUCCAUCCAAGGCUAAAUACUGGCACGAGUCCGAUAGUAGACAAGUACCUUGAGGGAAAGUUGAAAAGUACUCUGAAGAGAGAGUAAAUAGUACGUGAAGCUGCUUGCAGGGAAGCUGGUGGAGUCAAGCUUCUUGUCAAUGGAAUUGAUCACAGAGUUUUGUGUCUCGGGACGUGACGUUGGUUGAUCUGGAAACGAUUGGGUGCAUUCACCUGCACUCCAAGACGUUCUGGGCAGAAUGUUUGUGCUGACGUCUAUCUCCCUUCUCUGUGAUUGUAUUCCAUUGGCAUACAUCAUGGUCGAUAGUGGUUGCUUUCUGAUGUGUACUGUGUGAGCGCUUAACCGUGCUUUCGCCUGCUUCACGGCAGGCUGAGCAUGGAACGGCAGAAGGCACAUGCCGGGCUUGCCUUGUAUUGUGCGUAUUAUGGAUUUGUCCUGCUAGUGCUCACGCAUUGUAUCGACCCUAUCGCUCCUUCAAGCAACCUGAUCCAUGGAUCUGGUUGCGCUGAGAACCAUGAUGCUGAGGUAGACUUUCCACCCGACCCGUCUUGAAC